Molecule: ribosomal RNA, 788 nt
Filed under: uncultured Glomus
Lineage: Eukaryota; Fungi; Glomeromycota; Glomeromycetes; Glomerales; Glomeraceae
Description: SSU rRNA
Rfam family: Eukaryotic small subunit ribosomal RNA
Source: RNAcentral
GAUGGUAGGAUAGAGGCCUACCAUGGUUUCAACGGGUAACGGGGAAUAAGGGUUCGAUUCCGGAGAGGGAGCCUGAGAAACGGCUACCACAUCCAAGGAUGGCAGCAGGCGCGCAAAUUACCCAAUCCCGACACGGGGAGGUAGUGACAAUAAAUAACAAUACGGGGUUCUUUCGGAUCUCGUAAUUGGAAUGAGUACAAUUUAAAUCUCUUAACGAGGAACAAUUGGAGGGCAAGUCUGGUGCCAGCAGCCGCGGUAAUUCCAGCUCCAAUAGCGUAUAUUAAAGUUGUUGCAGUUAAAAAGCUCGUAGUUGAAUUUCGGGAUCAAUAUGUUGGUCGUGCCUUGGUACGUACUGGCGUCAUUGGUUUCUACCUUCUGAAGAACCUCGAUGUCAUUAAUUUGGUGUCUUGGGGAAUCAGGACUGUUACUUUGAAAAAAUUAGAGCGUUUAAAGCAGGCUCACGCUUGAAUACAUUAGCAUGGAAUAAUGAAAUAGGACGUUUGAUUCUAUUUUGUUGGUUUCUAGGAUCGACGUAAUGAUUAAUAGGGAUAGUUGGGGGCAUUAGUAUUCAAUUGUCAGAGGUGAAAUUCUUGGAUUUAUUGGAGACUAACUACUGCGAAAGCAUUUGCCAAGGAUGUUUUCAUUAAUCAAGAACGAAAGUUAGGGGAUCGAAGACGAUCAGAUACCGUCGUAGUCUUAACCAUAAACUAUGCCGACUAGGGAUCGGAUGAUGUUAAUUUUUUAAUGACUCAUUCGGCGCCUUACGGGAAACCAAAGUGUUUGGGUUC